This is a transfer RNA of Cavia porcellus (domestic guinea pig), 64 nucleotides long. It matches the Rfam family "tRNA". Rfam says of the family: Transfer RNA (tRNA) molecules are approximately 80 nucleotides in length. NCBI's taxonomy places the organism in Eukaryota, Metazoa, Chordata, Mammalia, Rodentia, Caviidae. The record is from Rfam.
GGGGAUUUAGCUCAGUGGCAUAAGCGCCUGCCUUGCAAGCAGGCAGUCAUGACUUCAAUCCCUG